UACGAAGGGGGCUAGCGUUGCUCGGAAUUACUGGGCGUAAAGCGCACGUAGGCGGAUCGUUAAGUCGGGGGUGAAAUCCUGGAGCUCAACUCCAGAACUGCCUUCGAUACUGGCAAUCUCGAGUCCGGGAGAGGUGAGUGGAACUCCGAGUGUAGAGGUGAAAUUCGUAGAUAUUCGGAAGAACACCAGUGGCGAAGGCGGCUCACUGGCCCGGUACUGACGCUGAGACGCGAAAGCGUGGGGAGCGAAUAGG
RNAcentral lists this ribosomal RNA (253 nucleotides) under uncultured bacterium. RNAcentral describes it as "partial 16S ribosomal RNA". It matches the Rfam family "Bacterial small subunit ribosomal RNA", at positions 524 to 776 of the family's 1533-position model. The record is from RNAcentral.